GUCCAACUGAUUGCUUUAAUUAUAUAUCUCCACAAAGAUCUAUCGCAUACAUUGCCUGCCCUCCAGGUGCUUGACAGAGAGAAAAUCCUGAAAAGCUCAAGAGGAACAAUAUUUGUAGAAAUUCCUGAAAAUCAAGCAUUUAUUCAACAUUGAGCAAAUGUUUGCAUGCUUACUGUGUGGAGUACAAGAAAAGCAAGGACAAACUACGUUUAAUAUUCUGGUGGAGCAAUAGGGAUGUGACUACAAAUACUAUUCAGAAUAAAUCUGGCUUUAUUUAAAGAAAAACAAACUAAAACCUACCCCAAAUACCUCAGACUGGAAUAUUUUAUCUUUGCUUCUGGCAUGAAAACGAUGGUUGCUAAGAGAUCCAGAGAAGUGAAAAGAAAAAUGAGACAAAGGAGGCUGAAAUAAUGUUUGCCUGGUUACUCAGAACACCAUGCAGGAGCAACAGGGAAGUAUGAAAAUCAAAGGACUCAAAACAAUUUAAAGCAAUUCGAAUUCUGUGUUAUCAACAGGCACCAUUCCCACAAUUAUGAGUUUUAUCCAGAUUAUCUGGAUCUGAGCCAACACAAAAAUGAAAUCUGAAACCCACAGCUGGGAGUUUCUCUAGAAAUUCUUCUUUAAAUGUUGGGGCAUUAAGGAGAAAGCACAGAGAAAAGAAAGGUGGUGAGAGAGGAAGGAAGGAAGAGACCUACGGUGAGUGUAGU
RNAcentral lists this long non-coding RNA (707 nucleotides) under Vulpes vulpes (red fox). Its description in RNAcentral is "lncRNA (ENSVVUG00000018215.1)". The record is from RNAcentral. Lineage: Eukaryota; Metazoa; Chordata; Mammalia; Carnivora; Canidae.